Argentina anserina (silverweed cinquefoil) is the source of this 709-nucleotide long non-coding RNA. RefSeq lists it as uncharacterized. Lineage: Eukaryota; Viridiplantae; Streptophyta; Magnoliopsida; Rosales; Rosaceae. The record is from RefSeq and is a predicted model, not a curated record. The transcript has 4 exons.
UUUUGGAACUAUAGCGCACAGUUUGUGUUUCAUAUUGACUACAGGGUUUUGUCGGAAAAUCUUGUCUAGCUAUGUUUGUGACAUUUGUGCAAUUUCGUGUUGCUUGCUGUAGCAAGAUCUCCUCUUUCAAUACCUACUGCAACAAUAAAUGCCAAUAGUCUAUCUAAUUUACACAUGUAGUCUAUUAAGUGAGUUCCUUUCACAGGAUCUUAUGUACCCAGUUCUAAAGCAAUAUGUGAUUUACUCUGCCGCGCAAGAAAUGGUCGACAAAGUUUGACAGCAUUGUGGUGUGCUUGUGGAUCAGGCACGACUUGUUUCAACGGAACUAAUCCGGGUCGCAAUACUCUCGCAUGGAAUGUGGCAUGAGGCUCUGGACGAAGGCGAGCUGUCUGUAUUUUGGUGAACACAACGUUGAAAGUAUUGGAGUCAUUGCAUGAGAUGCUUGAGGAAGGGGCUAUAAGGAAUAAUACUGUGAUAAAGGAGACACCAGUAAUUGAGGCCUAUUGUCAUGAAUUGCUGGGUGCCUAUGAAUGUUGCAUGACGUAUAAGAGAACUGUAAAGGAUGCUGAGCUUACUCAGGCAUGGGAUCCUUAGAUUUUUUACUAUCAUGAAGUCAGACAAACAGAUAAGCAGCUGCAAAGUCUACCUAAACUGGUCUUGGAGGUAUUGAGAUAUAUUCAUCCUUUUGGUUGAACAUAUUUUAUCGUCA